Molecule: long non-coding RNA, 574 nt
Filed under: Phoenix dactylifera (date palm)
Lineage: Eukaryota; Viridiplantae; Streptophyta; Magnoliopsida; Arecales; Arecaceae
Description: long non-coding RNA (PDAC_LNC007431)
Source: RNAcentral
AUCUGGAGCGGUCAAUCCCUUCUUGACUCAUACACAGACUUCGCGAGUACUUAACUGCACCCAGCAACUUUUCAAUAUCUGAAUUAGAAAUUCAGAUCGUUCAGUGCUAAAGUACAGUGAGUUGCUUGCAAGUCACCGUGAUAGUCUCAGGUCUAAGGGAUACUUAUGCCCAUAUGCUUUGUGAGCUAACUCCUGACAGUGGAGUGCUCAACAGGUGAGUCACUGUUCAGCGACGAUGUACUCCUACAUCUCACCUAUAUGCCAUACCAGUGUCUCCACACUCCUUGGUUAAGAGGACAACCAACUAAAUGGCAUACAACGACCUAUACUUGACCUAGCUAUUGUCCAAUUAAUAGCUUGUCAUUUGGUCGCGAACCAAUUUAAGGACUAAAUGAUAAAACCUCCUUUAUCCACUAAAUUAGUCCUAAGGACUUCAUCACAAUACACAGAAGUUCCUAUUUGAAGAUGCAACACUUGUGAUGAAAAGAAUGCCAGAAUAGAUUUUAUUAUUCAUUAAAUAAAACAUAUACAUUAUUCUUACAAUAAAAAUUGGCUUUGGGACACAAUUCCCAAC